CACGGGGGUUGCGAGCGUUGUCCGGAAUUACUAGGCGUAAAGGGCAGGUAGGCGGAGAUGUAAGUUUGAUGUUAAAGGUACUGGCUCACCCAGUGUACGGCAUCAGAUACUGCAUUUCUUGAAUACGGUUGGGGAAGACAGAAUUCCUGGUGUAGCGGUGGAAUGCGCAGAGAUCAGGAGGAAUACCGAAGGCGAAGGCAGUCUUCUAAGCCGGUUAUUGACGCUAAACUGCGAAGGUGUGGGUAUCAAACAGG
Molecule: ribosomal RNA, 254 nt
Filed under: uncultured Spirochaetota bacterium
Lineage: Bacteria; Pseudomonadati; Spirochaetota
Description: uncultured Spirochaetes bacterium partial 16S ribosomal RNA
Rfam family: Bacterial small subunit ribosomal RNA
Source: RNAcentral